UACGUAGGGUGCAAGCGUUGUCCGGAAUUAUUGGGCGUAAAGAGCUCGUAGGCGGUUUGUUGCGUCGGCUGUGAAAUCCCGAGACUCAACCUCGGGUCUGCAGUCGAUACGAGCAAACUAGAGUGUUGCAGGGGAGACUGGAAUUCCUGGUGUAGCGGUGAAAUGCGCAGAUAUCUGGAGGAACACCGGUGGCGAAGGCGGCAUCCUGGACCGGUAUUGACGCUGAGGCGCGAAAGCUAGGGGAGCAAACGGG
RNAcentral lists this ribosomal RNA (253 nucleotides) under uncultured bacterium. Its description in RNAcentral is "partial 16S ribosomal RNA". It matches the Rfam family "Bacterial small subunit ribosomal RNA", at positions 524 to 776 of the family's 1533-position model. The record is from RNAcentral.